Long non-coding RNA from Rhincodon typus (whale shark), 6188 nucleotides. RefSeq lists it as uncharacterized. The record is from RefSeq and is a predicted model, not a curated record. The transcript is spliced from 2 exons. NCBI's taxonomy places the organism in Eukaryota, Metazoa, Chordata, Chondrichthyes, Orectolobiformes, Rhincodontidae.
GUCCCUGGAUUAAUAGUCUAGCGAUAAUACCACUCGGCCAUCACCUAACCCCGGAUACGUGAUCCAGAGGCUCCUGGUUUGCACCCAUGUGACUUUCAAGAUCAAAGCUUGGCCAAAGAGAGGAGUUUUAAGGAGUGUCUUCAUAAUACUGUUGUCUUAUUAAUUGUUUUGUUGUUGCUUUUAAGGAAAAGCUAGCUAAACGCUUGAGUGGGAGAAGAAUGGAAAGUUCUGCUGAUGCAGUUUGUUGAAGAGGUGUAAGAAAGAUGCACCUUAAAUCCAGUAUGAAGGAACGGGGCUGAAUUGACAAUUUUGGAAUUGCACAUUUUACACGAUAGUAGAUUUUAUGUUUUCUUAGCACUGUAAAUGAUUCUCAGUUACCUAGAGGAGAUUACAUUUUAAUGAUGGCAGAAUCACUUAAAUUGAACUACAUUUUGGUGAGAUUGUAGUUGUCUCUUGUUAGUUCAGUAAGUUUGUUCAACAAUAUACGUUCAGAAUCAUGCUCCAAGCUGUGAUUUAGAUUACCCCAUCCUUGAUACUGGUCCCUACACAACUGGGUUAUGGAGCUAGAUAUUCUACCAAGUCAUGAUUGCCAUCCAGUGGACUCUUUUGGAACUGAACUUACACAUGAUUUUGGGAGAGAACAAUAUGGAACUUAGAUAUGAUCCCUCUGCAGUUGAGUAAUCUUCAGUGUUUCACAUCUGAAGGCAUGCAUUGACAGUUUAAGGGAAGGACCAGACAAUAUCUCAUGCUUCUGCAUCUGUGUUCUUGCAGCACCUGGGCCAGGAUAUUUGAGGAACAAAAAUGCUCUAAUUUUAAAACUUUUUUUUUCUACAGGGAUAAACAGAAUUAGAAAUUCUUCAGAUGCCAAAUUGUGUGAGCCUCAGUCUGUCCUCCAGAGGUUUACAAAGUGAAUAUAUGUUGCUGAAUAGUUCUUGAAUCCUGUAGCAUGGAAGGAAGCCAUUCAGUCCAGCUUGCCUGUACUUUGGAAGAGUUAGCCAGUUAGGUCUUCCCUUUCUGGUCUUUCCCAUAGCCUGCAAAUUAUUUCUCAUUUCAACUGUAAGUUAUUUAUUUUUGAAAGAUGACAACGAACCAACUUCUUUUAAACAGUAUAGUGCAGAUCACAACCACUUGCUGAAUUAAUUAUUUUUAAAAAACUCUUCCUUUCCACCUACUUCUUUUGCCAAUUAUCAUAUUUUUAUGUUCUCCAGUCAUCGAUCCUCCUACCAGUGGAAAUAAUCAGUACUGCAUAUAUGAAAAUCUCUCAGUUCUGAAAUGCUAUCACUAAGCCUUCCCUUAACCAUCUCUUGAGGAGAGAACAAUCCAACCUUCUCAAGAAAUUCUUCCUCAAGUGUGGUACAGAAUUAAAUACAAGACUUCAACUGGGGCGUAACCAAUAAUUUAGCAAGGUUUACCAGAACCUACUUGCUUUUGUACACCAUUUGGGAUUUUUCCCCACUAAGUAGUAAGAUCAGUUCUGAGAAAUAAGAUGCUUUCACUUUUGUACGAUGUGUAAUCACUAAGUACUUGUAAAUGAGGUUUGCAACUGAUUAAGCGUAGGGUAAAAUCUCACCCCGAAAGGAACAUCUUCACAGUGUCAACACCAUAUUUCCGUUUCAUGUGCCAGACAUUCUUGUGGCUUCGUUGUGUGAGACUGAGCUACUGAGGAAUUGAAGGCAAUUUAGUGCUUUGGACCUGUGCCAACUAGGAGCUGAGACUUUCCAAAUGCACUACACCUAAGAAGGCCUGUUUUCAUGAACGAGCAGACUUCAUCUGGCCUGAAGUCAAAUGUAGCUUUGAGAGGUUAAGAAACAAGGAAGUGCCUUUUGUGUCAUCGUGAUGUCCCAAAACGGUUCAUAGGCACGGAAGUACUGAAGAAAUACAGCCACUAUUGUACAAAAUGCAGCAGUCAAUUUAUAUAUCGCAAGGUCCCACAAACAGUAAUGUAGUCAUGGCUAGAAAAUCUAUUUCAGUGAUGUUGGUUAAGAAUAAGUAUUGACUAGGGCAGUGGAGAGAAUGGCCCUGCACUUACACUGAAAUAUGUCCACGAGGCAGGGUUGAUAGGGCCUGCAUUUAGCAUUCCCCGCAAAAAGCAAUACCCUUAACAGGAGUACACCGACAGCACUGACUGAUUUAUGUGGUCAGAUUUCUGGACUCAAACUCUAUGUACCAAGCCAUAGCUGAUAUCUGAGUGAUAUUGUAGAAAAGCAAAGUGUAAGAAAUUGGAUCCUCAAAAAUAUGAGAUUGAGUCCAUUAAUACUGCAACUUCAAUUCUGCCAGGAGGCCUGAAUGUAAUCUGUUGCACCCAAGCCCCUGAUAUAAAGAAAUUUGUACCAUGAUGUUCGCAAGCUCGUGUGCUUAAAAAGAUGCUAGCUGUUUUAAAAAGAAAAGUUAAAAUAGGCUCCAUUUAAUAUAGAUCAGAAUGUUGUAGGUUGCAAAAAUUGAUGGAAUGCAGUUUUAGUUUUUAUGUUUAACCACAGUAGUUCUUCCACGUUAGCACAGGUGUUGUAAAGGAAACAACUUGACAUUUCAUGGGAUAAGGAUAAGAAUCCUAAAGCCAUACAAGAGCAUGAAGCUUGCUCAUACCUGAAAUUUUAGGAGAAUCUGUCUUGCCCGGUAGGUGAUGGUAAUGAGGCAUUGUUUUUGUGUCUUAAAUUGAAGUACUUGGAUAAAAGAAUGCAAAUAUUUAACUGGAUAAGUUGUAAUGAGCAAAAGUGGCAAAAGCAAUUAUCAAUUUAGGUUUUGGCAAACCAUCUUCAUCACCAGUGUUGUGAUUGGAAUGAAAAGUUAGUAGAGGCAGAGUGAGUGGAAUGACAUCUGUUGUUUAAUCAGAAAGGAGUAAAAGUACAGAAAUUGUUAUAAUCUCACAUGUGGCUCCAGCCACUGAUACAGAUAUUGUGUAAAAGAAUCAUGUGAACUAUUGCAUCCUGUUUUGAACUAUAUCCUUCUAAAAAGACCUGAUGGAAAUGGAGAGGAUUCGCAACAAAGGAAAGCAAGAUUAAUCCACAUUACAUACCAACAAACUGAACAGUUACUUAACGCAUGAUGAAUAGUUAGAUGGAGGAAUAAGAGAACACUGGAGUAAACUUUGUGUAUUUUAUUGGCAUUUUGUUGAAAAUUUUGUCUGAACGCUUCAACCUCCCACAAGUCUCUGCUCUUGGACAUGAUAAUUCAGUACAGACUGUGAAUUUUCUGAGCUGCAGUUGAUGUGUCAGCAGUAUUUUCAGUGGUUCCUAUUUCCACAUAUACAUUAGAACCACUCAGUUGUCUUGUUGGAAUAUUCUUACAGCCUCCACUCAAAAGCUUUUCCGAAUGGAGGACAAACUUUUACAAUUUUAGGGUUUAUUUUCUAUUUCACUUUUUAAAAAAAAAAAAAAAAUAGGGUUUUUCUUUCCAAUUAUGGCUGCUGGUAACAGGAAGAAGGUGGGACACCGAGCAGAUAUAUGCCUUUUGUAACUUUUCAGUCCUUUAAACUUAAAAAAAUGCAUUAAACUCAGACAAACCAGGUGCUUCCCUCAUUUAAAUUCAGUCAAACUUUCAAAAAUAAAUGUGUUGAACUUUAAAACAAAACUGCCCCUAGUUAUCUCAUGUGAUCAUCUGUUAUGUUGGCAAACAGAAAUUAUCAACAAUCCAAUUCUUAGCAGCUGUUAGACACACACACAUAUGCAGACACACACAGUAUUUCCUCAUUUACAUUUCUCAAUUUAAAAAGGAAACAAGUUCAAAUUUGAAAGCUGUAGUUACUGGCUGUGACUUGUUGAUAGUAAUUAGUAUGUUUGUUUUUUCAAUUGAGGGAAUGGCAGACAGGCAAAGGGGACAAAGAAAUCAUAAAACAUCAGUUUCAGUGUCUACACUGAUGCCUUGGAAAAUCACAAACCCAUUUUGCUACUUAUGGAAUCCCUCAACAAAUGCUGUGUAUCCUAGAACUUACCCCCUUCUCACUACUGAUCACCAUCCAACACUGAGCCAAUCCUCAGGUCCCCUGCCACAGUCCUGCCAAAUUAUUGGUUGCCUCGCAGCCUGAUGCCAGAUAAACUGCCAAUCAUUGAUUGUUUUCACAGAGCAUGGAAUCGGGCUGUGAAAUUCAAUUUCCAAUACUGAUAGCUGUAACAAGUAUACACAACCGUUGCCAUUAUACAUGUGGACAGGGAUUUGUAAUGGAAAUACAAAAAUAAGGACAGAAUAUAGUUUUUAAAAGGUGACCGAAUUACAUGUACAUACAUAUACACUUUGCUUGCUUUACUGUGACACAUUAGUAUGAAAUAUUUGUUGAAAAUAUUAAAUAUAAAGGAACUUGCUGUCAAUUUUUUCCAUUUUAAUUUUUAUACCAACACUUAUUAUGGUGACUGCUGAUGCAAACUUGAUGCACGGUAAUUAUACCCUUCCAUUAGUCAAGGGCCUGCAGCAGCACCACUGCUAGGAGUAUGACCAGGAUAGUUCUGUGUGAUAUUACUUGUGAAUGUAAGAAUCUAUAAUGGAAUUAUAAAAAUAUGUAACGUAAAAUGGCCACUGCAUUGUUUCUGUACUUCCUGGGCCAAUUAACCCCUCCUCUCUAACGCUGAAUGUGACAUUUUGUCUUUAAUCAUAGAUACAGUAUGUACCACACUGCAGGGAAUCACUAUGACUAUUUACACACAUACGUAUGCAACCAUUAUAUAAGUUAGUUGUUUGGUAGUAUAGAACUUGAGUAUUACUGAAAAAAGACAUGUUUUGUCAAAGCUUUUCAUCUUACACUCACGACAAUUUGCAACAAAUAAUAAUAGAAAGGAAAAACACGAUUUAUACUGUAUGAACAAUACUGAAGUUAUAUAUUUGGAAUGUACAUAUAGCUAUAUACACAUGCACGCAUGAACACACAUAUAAUUUAUAAAUAAAACAAAAAUAGGGCAUGUGUUGUUUCAGUCUAUCAUCCUAUUAUUUUGACCUCUCUUUGGUUAGGUUUAUCAUGCGUAUUACAAGCCGCUGGAAUUUACAGUAGCUGAACGGGAUGCUACCCAGUGCUAUAUCAAGAUGGUUUGCUUACGUGAAGGUGACCAGCGUAUUCUAGGGCUUCAUUUCAUUGGACCAAAUGCUGGAGAGGUCGUUCAAGGAUUUGCACUGGGAAUAAAAUGCAAUGCUACAUACUCUCAGCUGUCAUCUACCGUAGGCAUCCAUCCAACCUGUGCAGAAGAUGUGAAUAAAUUAAACAUCACCAAGCGCUCGGGUCUGGAUCCAACAGUCACAGCCUGCUGAGGUUAAAUGUCAUCCCUGAACCAACUGGCACACCACAAACUCUAUGGCCCUUGAGUAAGAUACAGUCUUAAGAAAAGUACAUGUUAAGUAAUAUCCUGUUAAUUUUUUUACACCGUUUUGGAGUCCACUGAGUGAGUCUGAUCAUGACAGUAGAAUACGAUUCCUAAAUCAGCCAGCAGAGGGGGAUAUUUGAUUAUUAAAGAUGGAUGUAAGUAAUAUUGUCCCUUCGUUAUCUAGAAUGGAAAGCAUUUGUAAGUCAUUAUUGCAAAGCUGUGGGAUGCCAAUUGUGUUUGUUUUAGCCAUAAUCGUAGAAGUCUGUGGGACUGCUUUACUGGAAUCAUGUACAGGUCCACCCUCUCAAAACCAGCUGAACAUCUUUAGAAUUUCAUGGAUUUUUUUCUAGUAAAAUAAACAUACCUAGAAUAGUUUGGCGAGGUGCUGAGUAGUGCUAAACUUACCUAUUUUGCUGCUUAUGUAUCAAUCUAUUCCCAUGCUCCAAGCAGCCUUAAACCCAUCAACCCAAAUUGGCCCAAACUGCCAAUAUUCCCCAACCCAAAAUUUGGCAAAAUCCAAGACCUGUUGUGGCCUUGGUCCUGUGUUUGCCAGUUUUAAGAGAGUGUACUUGUACUUCAAUUCUAUACCAGAGGUUUUCAAAAAGUGUUGAAUAUGCAUUUUUACCUUGUACAGUGAUGAAUUUCGAGUUCAUAAACCAGAGUUGAUGGUGUGCUGUUCGGGAUGACUGGUGACGAGAGUAAAAGUGUUUUGACUUUUGCUGUUAACUGACCUGACUAGUAUGUAUUUUGUAUAGUUAAAUGUGUAUAUAUGAUAUAGUAGUCAGGGUGCAUAUGUGCCAGUUAAUGAUGACUUGUUUAUAAACCCAUAUUGUGGGAUAGACUGGUCUGAUACUGAUUGGCAUUAAAAUAUAUAGAGAAAACUUUAAAUAAAGUGAUAUUACAGUU